This 334-nucleotide unclassified non-coding RNA is filed under the name soil metagenome. Its description in RNAcentral is "partial contains 5.8S ribosomal RNA, internal transcribed spacer 2, and large subunit ribosomal RNA". The stretch from base 1 to 120 matches the Rfam family "5.8S ribosomal RNA", at positions 35 to 154 of the family's 154-position model. The record is from RNAcentral.
GAUGAAGAACGUAGCGAAAUGCGAUAAGUAAUGUGAAUUGCAGAAUUCAGUGAAUCAUCGAAUCUUUGAACGCACAUUGCGCCCCCCAGUAUUCUGGCGGGCAUGCCUGUUCGAGCGUCAUUUCAACCAUCAAGCCCUGCUUGUGUUGGGGUCCUGCGGCUGCCCGCAGGCCCUGAAAACCAGUGGCGGGCUCGCUAGUCACACCGAGCGCAGUAGCACAUCUCGCUCGGGGCGUGCGGCGGGCUCCAGCCGUUAAAGCACCCACCUUUCGCAAGGUUGACCUCGGAUCAGGUAGGAAUACCCGCUGAACUUAAGCAUAUCAAUAAGCGGAGGA